RNAcentral lists this long non-coding RNA (484 nucleotides) under Numida meleagris (helmeted guineafowl). RNAcentral describes it as "lncRNA (ENSNMEG00000001377.1)". Lineage: Eukaryota; Metazoa; Chordata; Aves; Galliformes; Numididae. The record is from RNAcentral.
CCAGAGCUGGAUUUGUGACCAUGAGUUCUGCUUGGUGAGUACCCUCAUGGGCUCCUUCCAGAUUCUUGCCAGGGAUCCUCCCUUCCUCACCGUCCUCAUGAGAUCCUGCUCUUUUCUCUCCUACAGAUAUUUGCCAACAUCUUCUUUCUAGAAACACCCUCAAGGGGAGGAAAUGUGGGCCUCCCCCUUGCUGCCAUCAGUAGCAAGGUCAAGCAGGCAAACAAGAAGCAAUGCUGCGUUUGUGCGGAGAGGGGAGAUGCCAUCACAUGCGCAGAGAGCGGCUGUGAAUGAAGCUUCCAUCUGCCCUGCGCUGCGGAUGGGGAGUGCAUCACGCAGUUCUUUGGAGAGCACAGGUCCUUCUGCUGGGAGCACCGCCCUCGGCAGGCAGCAGGGACAGCUCCAGCAGAAGACACCACCUGUGUUAUCUGCCUGGGGCCUGUGGGGGACAGAUUGUCCUACUACACCCUGGUGUGCCCAGCGUGCA